AGCGCUCAGAGGAAAAAAUGGCUGAGACGAACGAAAGUAUAAACACUUGUGAAACAGCGCCGUUAUUACAAGAACAGAACGAGGAAUCGAUUGAACCACCUCCUGCUAAUGAAGCGGGUAAGUUUAGCCAGCAAACGAAGCUUUACGAAGACUCUCACGUAGCUAUAUGCCUGAAGAUUAAUGUUUUAUUGACUGUGGCGUAGCGAUAAUAUACAUGGAAUUUUUCAAACGAUAACAUUGUUAUUCAUUCGGCAUAUAGCAUCUUGACUUCUUAAUAUAUAUUCUCUGACAUCUAAAGGUUCGUGGCGGUCUUAAAAUAAAGCUUUUUGUAUUCAAUUCUCGCAACUGCUUAAGUUAAAAAACUCUUCAUAUAUUUUUAGAAACUAGCUGUUGAAAUCAUGAGACGAUUAUAGACGAAUAACUCAAUGUUUUCAUGACGAAUGGAAAC
This is a non-coding RNA of Paramuricea clavata, 448 nucleotides long. NCBI's taxonomy places the organism in Eukaryota, Metazoa, Cnidaria, Anthozoa, Malacalcyonacea, Plexauridae. The record is from the annotation of a GenBank genome assembly.